UUUUUCUUUCACCGGAGCUUGCUCCACCGAAAGAAAAAGAGUGGCGAACGGGUGAGUAACACGUGGGUAACCUGCCCAUCAGAAGGGGAUAACACUUGGAAACAGGUGCUAAUACCGUAUAACACUAUUUUCCGCAUGGAAGAAAGUUGAAAGGCGCUUUUGCGUCACUGAUGGAUGGACCCGCGGUGCAUUAGCUAGUUGGUGAGGUAACGGCUCACCAAGGCAACGAUGCAUAGCCGACCUGAGAGGGUGAUCGGCCACACUGGGACUGAGACACGGCCCAGACUCCUACGGGAGGCAGCAGUAGGGAAUCUUCGGCAAUGGACGAAAGUCUGACCGAGCAACGCCGCGUGAGUGAAGAAGGUUUUCGGAUCGUAAAACUCUGUUGUUAGAGAAGAACAAGGAUGAGAGUAAAAUGUUCAUCCCUUGACGGUAUCUAACCAGAAAGCCACGGCUAACUACGUGCCAGCAGCCGCGGUAAUACGUAGGUGGCAAGCGUUGUCCGGAUUUAUUGGGCGUAAAGCGAGCGCAGGCGGUUUCUUAAGUCUGAUGUGAAAGCCCCCGGCUCAACCGGGGAGGGUCAUUGGAAACUGGGAGACUUGAGUGCAGAAGAGGAGAGUGGAAUUCCAUGUGUAGCGGUGAAAUGCGUAGAUAUAUGGAGGAACACCAGUGGCGAAGGCGGCUCUCUGGUCUGUAACUGACGCUGAGGCUCGAAAGCGUGGGGAGCGAACAGGAUUAGAUACCCUGGUAGUCCACGCCGUAAACGAUGAGUGCUAAGUGUUGGAGGGUUUCCGCCCUUCAGUGCUGCAGCAAACGCAUUAAGCACUCCGCCUGGGGAGUACGACCGCAAGGUUGAAACUCAAAGGAAUUGACGGGGGCCCGCACAAGCGGUGGAGCAUGUGGUUUAAUUCGAAGCAACGCGAAGAACCUUACCAGGUCUUGACAUCCUUUGACCACUCUAGAGAUAGAGCUUCCCCUU
This 979-nucleotide ribosomal RNA is filed under the name Enterococcus casseliflavus. RNAcentral's name for it is "bacterial SSU rRNA". It matches the Rfam family "Bacterial small subunit ribosomal RNA", at positions 69 to 1020 of the family's 1533-position model. The record is from RNAcentral. Lineage: Bacteria; Bacillati; Bacillota; Bacilli; Lactobacillales; Enterococcaceae.